RNAcentral lists this long non-coding RNA (266 nucleotides) under Fukomys damarensis (Damara mole-rat). Its description in RNAcentral is "lncRNA (ENSFDAG00000030299.1)". Lineage: Eukaryota; Metazoa; Chordata; Mammalia; Rodentia; Bathyergidae. The record is from RNAcentral.
CAGAAGGGUCAGGACUCGAAGAUUGUUCUACACAUCAAACAGCAUCAGAUCACAGCCACGAGGAAAUAUCAGACCCAGAGAGCUGCAAAUCAAACAGGAAAGACAAUUCUUGUUUCCCACGAGCGUGGAGAGAGGCAGACCUGUCAGUGCUCCUGCGGUCAGCUGUGGGAAUCAAAGUGAUGCUGUUCUUUCAACCAAGCACCAGAGUAGAAUGCUUCUGAUUACACCAUGGGAAACCUGAGGCGCACUGCAACCUGGCUGACCAG